GGCGGACGGGUGAGUAACACGUGGGUAACCUACCCAUCAGAGGGGGAUAACACUUGGAAACAGGUGCUAAUACCGCAUAACAGUUUAUGCCGCAUGGCAUAAGAGUGAAAGGCGCUUUCGGGUGUCGCUGAUGGAUGGACCCGCGGUGCAUUAGCUAGUUGGUGAGGUAACGGCUCACCAAGGCCACGAUGCAUAGCCGACCUGAGAGGGUGAUCGGCCACACUGGGACUGAGACACGGCCCAGACUCCUACGGGAGGCAGCAGUAGGGAAUCUUCGGCAAUGGACGAAAGUCUGACCGAGCAACGCCGCGUGAGUGAAGAAGGUUUUCGGAUCGUAAAACUCUGUUGUUAGAGAAGAACAAGGACGUUAGUAACUGAACGUCCCCUGACGGUAUCUAACCAGAAAGCCACGGCUAACUACGUGCCAGCAGCCGCGGUAAUACGUAGGUGGCAAGCGUUGUCCGGAUUUAUUGGGCGUAAAGCGAGCGCAGGCGGUUUCUUAAGUCUGAUGUGAAAGCCCCCGGCUCAACCGGGGAGGGUCAUUGGAAACUGGGAGACUUGAGUGCAAAGAGAGAGUGAAUUCCAUGUGGUGGCGGAUGAAAUGCGUAGAUUAUGGAGGAACACCAGUGGCGAAGGCGGCUCUUUGGUCUGUAACUGACGCUGAGGCUCGAAAGCGUGGGGGAGCAAACAAGGAUUAAAUACCCUGGGUAGUCCACGCCCGUAAACGAUGAGUGCUAAGUGUUGGAGAGGGUUUCCGCCCCUUCAGUGCUGCAGCACAACGCAUUAAGCACUCCGCCUGGGGAGUACGACCGCAAGGUUGAAACUCAAAAGGAAAUUGACGGGGGCCCGCACAAGCGGUGGAGCAUGUGGUUUAAUUCGAGAGCAACGCGAAGAACCUUACCAGGUCUUGACAUCUCUUUGACCACUCUAGAGAUAGAGCUUUCCCUUCGGGGACAAAAUGACAGGUGGUGCAUGGUGGUGUUCAGCUCGUGUCGUGAGAUGUUGGGUUAAGUCCCGCAACGAGCGCAACCCCUAUUGUUAGUUGCCAUCAUUUAUUUGGGCACUCUAGCGAGACUGCCGGGGACAAACCGGAGGAAGGGGGGGGGGAGGUCAAAUCAUCAUGCCCCCUAUGACCUGGGGUACACACGUGCUACAAUGGGAAGUACAACGAGUCGCUAGACCGCGAGGUCAUGCAAAUCUUUUAAAGCUUCUCUCAGUUCGGAUUGCAGGGUGCAACUUGCCUGCAUGAAGCCGGAAUCGCU
This 1262-nucleotide ribosomal RNA is filed under the name Enterococcus sp. C4I6. RNAcentral describes it as "bacterial SSU rRNA". It matches the Rfam family "Bacterial small subunit ribosomal RNA", at positions 97 to 1336 of the family's 1533-position model. The record is from RNAcentral. Lineage: Bacteria; Bacillati; Bacillota; Bacilli; Lactobacillales; Enterococcaceae.